UAUAGGAGUUUUUAAACUGGCUCAGGAUGAACGCUGGCGGCGUGCCUAACACAUGCAAGUCGAGCGAUCUCUUCGGAGAGAGCGGCGGACGGGUGAGUAACGCGUGGGUAACCUGCCCUGUACACACGGAUAACAUACCGAAAGGUAUACUAAUACGGGAUAACAUAUGAAAGUCGCAUGGCUUUUGUAUCAAAGCUCCGGCGGUACAGGAUGGACCCGCGUCUGAUUAGCUAGUUGGUAAGGUAAUGGCUUACCAAGGCAACGAUCAGUAGCCGACCUGAGAGGGUGAUCGGCCACACUGGAACUGAGACACGGUCCAGACUCCUACGGGAGGCAGCAGUGGGGAAUAUUGCACAAUGGGCGAAAGCCUGAUGCAGCAACGCCGCGUGAGCGAUGAAGGCCUUCGGGUCGUAAAGCUCUGUCCUCAAGGAAGAUAAUGACGGUACUUGAGGAGGAAGCCCCGGCUAACUACGUGCCAGCAGCCGCGGUAAUACGUAGGGGGCUAGCGUUAUCCGGAAUUACUGGGCGUAAAGGGUGCGUAGGUGGUUUUUUAAGUCAGAAGUGAAAGGCUACGGCUCAACCGUAGUAAGCUUUUGAAACUAGAGAACUUGAGUGCAGGAGAGGAGAGUAGAAUUCCUAGUGUAGCGGUGAAAUGCGUAGAUAUUAGGAGGAAUACCAGUAGCGAAGGCGGCUCUCUGGACUGUAACUGACACUGAGGCACGAAAGCGUGGGGAGCAAACAGGAUUAGAUACCCUGGUAGUCCACGCCGUAAACGAUGAGUACUAGGUGUCGGGGGUUACCCCCCUCGGUGCCGCAGCUAACGCAUUAAGACUCCGCCUGCUU
Molecule: ribosomal RNA, 843 nt
Filed under: Paraclostridium bifermentans
Lineage: Bacteria; Bacillati; Bacillota; Clostridia; Peptostreptococcales; Peptostreptococcaceae
Description: bacterial SSU rRNA
Rfam family: Bacterial small subunit ribosomal RNA
Source: RNAcentral